This 232-nucleotide long non-coding RNA is filed under the name Elaeis guineensis (African oil palm). Its description in RNAcentral is "long non-coding RNA (EGUI_LNC005630)". Lineage: Eukaryota; Viridiplantae; Streptophyta; Magnoliopsida; Arecales; Arecaceae. The record is from RNAcentral.
CAUGAGCAUCUGGAAAUUAACAUAUAAGUCAGUAGGAUACGACAUCGACUCCCAUGACAUGCAAUUAUGUCAGUCAGAUAAAUAGUUUGCAUUCAUAAAUAAUAAGCAAUUAUGUUUUAGAAAAUCAGAGCCUAGAUAAAGGAAUUAAAGGAGCCACGGAAAUGGAAAACAAAGAGAAUGUAGGUUUGGAAGAUCAAUGUGAGGUAGUGGGGUAGAAAAGGGAAGGUACAAG